AUGGAUUGCAAUAUCAGUGCUAACCCCCCAAAAAACAAAACCACCCAACAAUGGAAACAAAACACACACACCAAAAAAAAAAAGAAAAAAAAAGAAAUCUGUCACCAGUUAAAUGCUAAAACCACAGGCCAGCAAGACCUCAGUAAUAUGCUCUAUUGCUCUGUUCUUCAGCAGAUUCAAAGAAGAGAAGUGGUGGUGUUUGUGGACCAGGAUAUUCACAGCCAUGGAAGCACUUCUUGCAGAUGCAACUCCUGGGCUUCUGCAUGGGAGCACCUCUGUAUUUACUUGUAUUUUAAGAUGCAUCAAGCAGCUGUGGGACUUGUAGAUGAAGUUUUUACUCUGGGCUCAAAGACACAUUAAGCUGUCUAUGAAGUGAAGGACAUCUGCAGUCACUAGUCUGGUAGUCUCCAAACUGGCCACACCAUUUGGUCUGCACUCUUAUACAGGUAGGUAAACAUUUAAACUAUGUUAUACAGGCAUACAUACAAUAUUUGAUGAAAUGUUCUCUUAAAUACUAUUCAGAAAAAAAAAGCCAUAGUUUUUGCAGUUGCUUAAAUGAUGAUAGCAUGCAUGCUUUCGAUACUUUUAAGGAACACUGGGAUAUAUAAUUAUUUCUCUAUAAAAUUAUUUCUAAAAAAUUUUCCAUUGUAGGCUGGAUUGUAUACAGUGUACAACUGUGUAGUAGUGACUUUUGUAAGUCCUUAGAAAAAUACAAUGUUCUUAAAAUGGCUUCAUUCAUUGCAGAAGUAGUUUUAAAAAUAUUUAAUUUACAGUACUUCUUCAGCUUCCUGUGCAGCCUGUCUUGAAAAGAUCACCUGUUUGAGCAUUUUGCCUUAAAUCUUAGCCACUUCAGAGAUUGUUAUAAAAUACUGUGAAGAAAUGGUCUAGUUUUUAAGUCUCUAUUCAGCAAAAAGGAACAAAUCCAAAGAAGAUUAUAAACAGAGAGAGUAUGUUUAUAUUUGGGAGUCCACAGUGUAUUGGUUUAGAAAGCUUUUCUACAUUCUAGCCAUGGAGCUUUAUAAACACGGAUUGAUUCAUUAUUUUUGAUCUGCUGGAACAGUAAUCAUCCUCUUAAUGGCUUUGGUACUCUUCUGUUCAAGCAGUGGUGUGAUGCUGAACUACCUAUAGCUGAUCU
This 1135-nucleotide long non-coding RNA is filed under the name Anser cygnoides (Swan goose). Its description in RNAcentral is "lncRNA (ENSACDG00005012134.1)". The record is from RNAcentral. Lineage: Eukaryota; Metazoa; Chordata; Aves; Anseriformes; Anatidae.